CUCCAGUUUAAUAUCUUUCAAUGCUUAAGUCAGCCGAAGCCUUAAGAAUAGAUAGUAGAAAUAGAAAAAGUGGAAUGUGAGAAGAGAAGUUUUGGAUGAAAAAAAUAAAAAAUUUUGGUUCCUUUUAGUAGGAAAAAAAGUUCAGCAGAGUCUGGACUUUUUGAGUUGAGAACUUACCUCUCAGAGAGUACCUCGUCCCUCUUUAUAUAGGGAGGAUUUGCUUAUGCCGUUAGGAGAGUUUGUUAGGCCAUUAAGAAUUUAUUAGACCGUUAGUUUAUUAUAAUAGAAUGACCAGCUGUAUGGAGGUUACAGACUGUUCGUCGAUGUGGGAAUUAGCUGUAGUAUAGCUGGAAGAUAGUUAUUGUGGGGUUGGACAAUAGGCGUAAUAGAGCUAUAGAGUGAUUGUCGUUCUCCUAGGUUACAUCGGUUGUAGACUGAUGUAUCUAGUGGCAGAUCGGAUGAAAUUCGAGUUAAUCAUAAUAUCCUGCUGGAUCAUUUCAGAUCAACAC
This 509-nucleotide long non-coding RNA is filed under the name Elaeis guineensis (African oil palm). RNAcentral's name for it is "long non-coding RNA (EGUI_LNC022881)". Lineage: Eukaryota; Viridiplantae; Streptophyta; Magnoliopsida; Arecales; Arecaceae. The record is from RNAcentral.